UGGAAUCAAGACAGCAAUUUGAUAGAACUGAAAGGCUUUAUUAUCAGGUAAACUAGGACCGAUUCCUGGUUUUACAUCCUCCUGACUGCAUAACUUUUGAGACUCAGUCCCAGCUUUCUUGCUUGUAAAAUGACAAUAGUAUCAUCUACUGUUAUGAACUGAAUGUUUGUGUCUCCCCAAAAUUUAUGCAUUAAAAUCCUAACCCUCAAUGUGAUAAUAUUAGGAGGCAGGGCCUUUGGGAGGUAAUGAGGCCAUGAGGAUAGAGCUUUCAUGAAUAGGAUUAAUGCUCUUCUAAGAAGAGGCACACACGAGACAACUUGCUUCCUUUCUCUCUCUGCUCUUCACCAUGUGAGGAUACAAUGAGAAGAAGGCCAUCUGUAAACGAGCAAGAGGACCUUCACCAAGAUCCCAACCGUGCUGCCACCCUGACCUCAGACUUCCAACCUCCAGAGAGAUUGCCAUGAAGAUGAUGUUUGGGUCAAGUUGCCUGGAUUUAGUCAUUGGGAGUCCUUGGUUAUUAGUAGGAUCCUCAGAGCAGUAGAGGGACAGAAGCCAGAUUGCACAGACUUCAACAGGUGGCAGUGGUAGCUAUUGAUAGAACACACGGAGAACACCACGUUGACCAGGUCUUGGCAGUGUUUCAGAAAGAGGUCGUCAGAGAUAUAAUAGAAAAGGAUUAAAAAUGGGAAAUUUUAGGGGCUUCCCUGGUGGCGCAGUGGUUAAGGAUCUGCCUGCCAAUGCAGGGGACACGGGUUCGAGCCCUGGUCUGGGAAGAUCCCACAUGCUCGCGGAGCGACUAGGCCCGUGAGCCACAACUACUGAGCCUGCGCGUCUGGAGCCUGCGCCCCGCAACAAGAGAGGCCGCGACAGUGAGAGGCCCGCGCACCGCGAUGAAGAGUGGCCCCUGCUUGCCGCAACCAGAGAAAGCCCUCGCACAGAAACGAAGACCCAACACAGCCAAAAAUAAAUAAAUAAAUAAAUAAAUUUUUUUAAAAAUGGGA
This is a long non-coding RNA of Balaenoptera ricei (Rice's whale), 1001 nucleotides long. RefSeq lists it as uncharacterized. The record is from RefSeq and is a predicted model, not a curated record. The transcript has 4 exons. Lineage: Eukaryota; Metazoa; Chordata; Mammalia; Artiodactyla; Balaenopteridae.